UGGGUUGUGGCUCAGUUGUAGAGUGCUUGCUUAGCAUGUGUGAGGCACUGAGUUCAAUCCUCAGCACCACAU
RNAcentral lists this transfer RNA (72 nucleotides) under Marmota marmota marmota (Alpine marmot). It matches the Rfam family "tRNA". From Rfam's summary of the family: Transfer RNA (tRNA) molecules are approximately 80 nucleotides in length. Their secondary structure includes four short double-helical elements and three loops (D, anti-codon, and T loops). RNAcentral also lists the same sequence under 1 other name. Lineage: Eukaryota; Metazoa; Chordata; Mammalia; Rodentia; Sciuridae. The record is from Rfam by way of RNAcentral.